Long non-coding RNA from Esox lucius (northern pike), 3033 nucleotides. The record is from Ensembl. NCBI's taxonomy places the organism in Eukaryota, Metazoa, Chordata, Actinopteri, Esociformes, Esocidae.
GGGUGCAUAGGUUGGUGUGUGUAAGCAGGCGUGUCUUCAGACACAGGAAAGAGGUACCGUCCUAAGCCCACCGGUGGUCACCAGGCCCGCUGGAGGGAGAGAAGGGACACAGCCAGGUUACUGUGAAUUAACUCCACAGGGCUGUUGGACAGUUGAUCUGAUUUCUGCUGGAUAAACGUGGUGACUGCGAAGAUGUUUUUCUGCAUCCCACGGCUGACACCUGGGUACAUCAGAUACUUGAAGGAAGAAGUGGUUCUGACAGUCGCUCAAGUAAGAUGGAAGACCGUUCUCCAGAAUGUUGACUCAGGCUGUCCAGACGAGGCUGAAGAGACGGGAAGUCCCCAUUAUUCACCGGAUUGCCAUGUUUCUAGGGCUGAUGGGAAUUGGGAUGUCCGGGUACAGUUCGCGACAGCUCACCCUGCACUACAAGCCCUAUGCUAAAUUGCUGAGAUGAGACAAAAGGCUUCUGACUUAUCAUUCUACAUCUGUCCCUGAAAUGACAACAACAUGGAUGACAUGGAUAUGGUGCAGUGAUCAAACACCCAUGACUCCACUUACACCAAACGAAUAGUUGUCUCUCUUACUAAAAUGUUUUUUAGUAAGAGACCCAAAUCAAUUUUAGUGUGACCCAAGACCCUUUAGUUUUAAAUUUGGGAUGAACAAAGUCUGUUCCACAUGCCUUAAUUUUCCACAUGCAAAGUCAAUGACCCUGAUUAUUAUUUCCUUUAAGAAAACUAUUUCAAAUCCUUUCCCUUUCAAACAAUUACAUUUAGUUUUGCCAACACAUUUCCACCCAUUCGUAGGGAUGGUUUGAACCAUUUUACAUUGAGAUAUAGUAAGGAUGUUUCCUUUAAUUGCUUACAUCCUGAACUUUAACAACAUCUUUUUUCAUCCUUUGCCUUAAAGAGGGCAAUCUGUUAAAAACAUAAAAUGAUGUUAGCUUACAUUUGCACAAGACCAAAACAAAUAAUCAUUGCAAUGACAUUCAAACCUGCCAAAAUCCCAUAGUCCACUUUUUAUUCUCUUAUUGCUGUUUGGCAUUUUUAGCUAAACACCUGUGUCAUCAGGAAAUUUGACAGUGUUUUCACAGGAAAGAGCAAAUUCACUGUAUCCAAAGUUCCUCAAGGAGAGAGAAAAUCUUAAUUGUAGUAUCUUGGAACUCAGGUUGGUCAGAGGGAUUUACAUAUUUGCUUAUGGUAUUGUCUAUAGUCUUUGUUUUGGAAUCUAUAGUAUGAUAUGAUUUGUGACUUGCUUUAACGUUUUAUGUUAGCACGCAGUGUGAGAGAAGGUCAUUGAAUAAAAAAUUCUAAAUUCUCAACUGGCCUUCUUCCAAAUAUAUUUUGUAAUGUAGUUUGUGAUUGGCCAAGCCCAAUGUCCCCUAAAGUAAUUUGAUUUGCAUGAGGACAAAAAAUAUCUAUAAACAGCACAGUACCUAUACAAGCCUGUACAACCCUGAACCAUUUUACAUUUUGUUGGUCUUUCAUGAAUGCAUUUGAAUGACAAUUUCUUUUUUCAUUCAUUCAUCCUUUCAUUCAUCUUCUUCCGCUUCUUCCGGGGCCAGGUCGCGGGGGCAGCAGUCUAAGCAGAGAUGCCCAGACUUCCCUCUCCCCAGACACUUCCUCCAGCUCUUCCGGGGGGACACCGAGGUGUUCCCAGGCCAGCCGGGAGACAUAGUCCCUCCAGCGUGUUCUAGGUCUUCCCCGGGGUCUCCUCCCGGUGGGACGGGACCGGAACACCUUCCCAGGAAGGCGUUCCGGAGGCAUCCGAAACAGAUGCCCAAGCCACCUCAGCUGACCCCUCUCGAUGUGGAGGAGCAGCGGCUCUACUCUGAGCUCCUCCCGGGUGACCGAGCUUCUCACCCUAUCUCUAAGGGAUCGCCCAGCCACCCUACGGAGAAAGCUCAUUUCGGCCGCCUGUAUCCAGGAUCUUGUCCUUUCGGUCAUUUAUUUUUUCACUUACAAACAAAUCAUGCUCCACACUUGCAUAGCAAAUGCUCAACUAUGAGAACCAAGGGCUUUUCGAAAGAGCUAAGGUACAAAGUUGUGGAAAAGAAAGACCAUGAAUAUCUCUUUGAACAUGUUGAAGAUAAUUAAGAAGUGGAAUGUAUAUGGCAUCACCCAAACCCUAACUAAAUCAAGCCGCCCUUCAAAAUACAUAACGAAUAUAUGACAAAGGAAGUUGGUGACUAUUCAGAGAGGUUAUCAAAAGGUCAAUGGCAACUGUGACUGAACUUUUGUGGCCAAAACUGGGAACGUGCAAAUCUGACAACAAUUUCCCAACUGUAUUUGGUGUGAAAUCGCGAGCCAGUUAGCAGUCUGAGCUGUUAGCAUUUCAAUUGGUUAUGUGCUCUAAAACCAAAUAGUUGUUUCCCUUGUCAAAUAAGGGCCACAUAAUUUGUGGGGUAAUGGUAACAAUGCUUUGUGGAGGACAGUUUUCAUUGUGUUCUGGAGGACCUCUGGUUCAUGUAGGACAGUGUAGAAAGUGAGACAUUGACCCAGAUCGCUCAGUGAGGGUCUGCCAGUUAUGCCAUGGAUGUUGUUGAAAAGGAUGAGGUCAAAGGGGGGUGAGUGUCUAACUGGUGUGAAAAGUCUAGCCAUUUAGUGUGAAUGCUGUUCAAUCGGUUUAGCAAAGGCAUUCAAGUAGUUGUUUCCCGUAGUUUUUGCGGUGUGAUGAUAACUAUGUUUGUGGUGUUUCCUUUUUUGGGGUCAUUGUGUUCACAUGGCUUCUGGUGUGUUCCCAAGCAGGGGGCAGUAAGGCAGUGCUAGAAGCAACUGUUACACAAGUACUCCAGACUGUAUGGCAGGGUGGCAAGAAAGAAGCCAUUUUAUACAGAAACAAGAGGUAGAGAGGUGGAAAAACUCAAAGGAUAAACCGCUGGGACUAGGUGAGGUGGUGUCGACAGGGUUGCCUCAUGGUGGCAGUUUUGGAUGGGAUUGGGAUGGUUAAUCAGGGAUGGCAUCUGCUCCCUCUCCUCUCCGGGCCUUUGUUCCUCCUCUGUGGACUAGGACUGUGGGUCACAAUUUACAGCCAAAC